RNAcentral lists this unclassified non-coding RNA (1141 nucleotides) under Hevea brasiliensis (rubber tree). Lineage: Eukaryota; Viridiplantae; Streptophyta; Magnoliopsida; Malpighiales; Euphorbiaceae. The record is from RNAcentral.
UUUCUCUCUACAAUUGGGUAUUAAGUUAAAUCACAUAUACUCAAUUAAUUUAUAAAUUUUUCAUAUAAAUAGAGGUAAUAAAAUUUAUAUAUUUAUUUAUUUAUAAAAAAAAAAUAAAAUGCAAUUAUCUAUCAAACCCCACAUUAUAAUUGCAAAAGAAAACCCACCAGCUAAAACACACCUCUUCCUUUCUCUCUCCCUCACAUUAACACAUGUACCCAUCAGAAUCUCCUUGUAUCAAAGAUGUACAUGACUUUGGUGUCCACCUCAUUCACACCUCCAAAGUAACAUUUCUCUCUCUUCUUGUCUUGCACAUGUAUCUGUCUUCAUACUCCAAAAUCACUGCCUCAUCUUCACUCGCUCUCUAUUCUUUCCACCACCUCUCUUUCUCUCUUCCUCCUACCAUCAUUUCUGUCUUCUUCUUCAAUCCCACUCUUUCACUACCCACCCCCACAUGAUCACCUUCUUCUCUUGAUUUUAUUUCUAGCUCCCUAUUAGUUCUUCAAGCCUCCUCCUCCUCCCCCAUAUCCCACCAAUCAUGUCCAGCAAACUAGUAGUUGAAGUUCUUGAUGCAAGUGACCUCUUGCCAAAAGAUGGCCAAGGCUCUCCUAAUCCUUUUGUGCAAGUGAAUUUUGAUGACCAACGACAAAGAACUCAAACCAAGCCCAAAGACCUCAAUCCUUAUUGGAAUGAGAAACUUGUUUUCACUGUGAACGAUCUCAGAGAUCUCCCUAACAAGACCAUUGAGGUUGUUCUUUACCAUGAUCGAAAAGGUGAUCAAGCUUGUCGUGACAAGAAUUUUCUCGGUCGUGUUAGAAUCGCUGGUGUCUCUGUCCCUUUAUCUGAGUCUGAGGCUAGUGUCCAGCGAUGCCCGCUUGAGAAGCAUGGCCUUUUUUCACAUAUCAAAGGUGAUAUAGCUCUCAAGAUUUAUGCAGUUCAUGAUGGGAAUUAUUAUCCUCCUCCUACUCGACCACCAAAUGCUGCCAGUAUUAAGACUGAAGGCACCCCUCUCCAAGAAAUCAAUAACAACAAGCUUGAAAAAGAUUUUAUGGCUGGUGAGAAGAAGACCAAGAAGAAGAAAGAAAAAGAAGCGAGAACUUUUCACUCUAUAGGGACUGCAGCAGCUAGCGGUGGCCCUGCU